RNAcentral lists this ribosomal RNA (253 nucleotides) under uncultured archaeon. RNAcentral describes it as "partial 16S ribosomal RNA". It matches the Rfam family "Archaeal small subunit ribosomal RNA", at positions 474 to 726 of the family's 1478-position model. The record is from RNAcentral.
CCCCAGCGCCACAAGUGGUGACCGCAUUUAUUGGGCCUAAAGCGUCCGUAGCCGGCAUUCUAAAUCUUUUGUGAAAUCGUUAGGCUCAACCUAACGGCGUGCAGAAGAGACUGGUAUGCUUGGGACUGGGAGGAGUCAGAGGUAUUGGUGGGGGAGCGGUAAAAUGUUAUAAUCCCACUAAGACCACCUGUGGCGAAGGCGUCUGACUAGAACAGAUCCGACGGUGAGGGACGAAAGCUAGGGGAGCGAUCCG